Molecule: ribosomal RNA, 253 nt
Filed under: uncultured bacterium
Lineage: Bacteria
Description: partial 16S ribosomal RNA
Rfam family: Bacterial small subunit ribosomal RNA
Source: RNAcentral
UACAGAGGGGGCAAGCGUUAUUCGGAAUUAUUGGGCGUAAAGGGCGCGUAGACGGCUUGGCAAGUGGAAGGUGAAAUCCCUCGGCUUAACCGAGGAACUGCCCUCCAAACUGCUUUGCUUGAGACCAGAAAAGAUGAGUGGAAUUCCCAGUGUAGCGGUGAAAUGCGUAGAUAUUGAGAGGAACACCAGUGGCGAAGGCGGCUCACUGGACCGGUUCUGACGCUGAUGCGCGAAAGCGUAAAAAGCAAACGGG